UUUCUGAUGUUGAUUUGUCUUGGCUGGACACAGUGGUCAAGUUGCAUCGGAGGGCUGGACCUCUCUAUAGACAUGAGAUGUUGUAGGGUAAAGGUGGGGUUGGGCACCAAUAACUGUUAGGUGAGGGCCCAAUGACGACUUUAUUCCUACGGUUGUACGGUGGGUCUGACUUAACUAAGAAAUGGGACCAAUAACUGUUAGGUGAGGUUUUCAUGGCUUAGAGACCAAGUUGCACUGCAACAUGCUUGAGAAGCAUUGUACAAGAGUUGUACAUUCAUCAAUCUAUGUGUCACCAAUAACUGUUAGGUGAGGUGGCAUAUA
This 321-nucleotide long non-coding RNA is filed under the name Phoenix dactylifera (date palm). Its description in RNAcentral is "long non-coding RNA (PDAC_LNC012249)". The record is from RNAcentral. Lineage: Eukaryota; Viridiplantae; Streptophyta; Magnoliopsida; Arecales; Arecaceae.